GCCAGUGUAGCUCAGGGGUAGAGCAACUGAUUCGUAAUCAGUAGGUCGUCGGUUCAAUUCCGACCUCUGGCU
RNAcentral lists this transfer RNA (72 nucleotides) under Deinococcus proteolyticus MRP. It matches the Rfam family "tRNA". Rfam says of the family: Transfer RNA (tRNA) molecules are approximately 80 nucleotides in length. Their secondary structure includes four short double-helical elements and three loops (D, anti-codon, and T loops). The record is from Rfam by way of RNAcentral. Lineage: Bacteria; Thermotogati; Deinococcota; Deinococci; Deinococcales; Deinococcaceae.